GGAACCGUGCCCGAAUGCCCAGGGACCACUUUGAUAGAGUGGCUUAUGAGGGUUAAAGUCCCUCCCGUUCCU
RNAcentral lists this transfer RNA (72 nucleotides) under Acanthocobitis botia (mottled loach). RNAcentral describes it as "tRNA-Ile". It matches the Rfam family "tRNA". From Rfam's summary of the family: Transfer RNA (tRNA) molecules are approximately 80 nucleotides in length. Their secondary structure includes four short double-helical elements and three loops (D, anti-codon, and T loops). The record is from RNAcentral. Lineage: Eukaryota; Metazoa; Chordata; Actinopteri; Cypriniformes; Nemacheilidae.